UACGUAGGGUGCAGGCGUUAAUCGGAAUUACUGGGCGUAAAGCGCACGUAGGCGGAUAUUUAAGUCAGGGGUGAAAUCCCAGAGCUCAACUCUGGAACUGCCUUUGAUACUGGGUAUCUUGAGUAUGGAAGAGGUGAGUGGAAUUCCGAGUGUAGAGGUGAAAUUCGUAGAUAUUCGGAGGAACACCAGUGGCGAAGGCGGCUCACUGGUCCAUUACUGACGCUGAGGUGCGAAAGCGUGGGGAGCAAACAGG
This 253-nucleotide ribosomal RNA is filed under the name uncultured bacterium. Its description in RNAcentral is "partial 16S ribosomal RNA". It matches the Rfam family "Bacterial small subunit ribosomal RNA", at positions 524 to 776 of the family's 1533-position model. The record is from RNAcentral.